Molecule: long non-coding RNA, 593 nt
Filed under: Danio rerio (zebrafish)
Lineage: Eukaryota; Metazoa; Chordata; Actinopteri; Cypriniformes; Danionidae
Description: si:ch211-127n13.3 (ENSDARG00000093358.2)
Source: RNAcentral
GUCUGGUGUUGAAAUGUUAACACUGCAUGUCUUUCCUGAGUCUCCAGUGGGCCAAGUGUCUAAAAACCUCAGGGCCCACCACCCAGUGACCCAUAUAUGACCAAGGAGAACCAUUGCUUCAGGGCCAUCAGAACAUGUGACAUGAUGGCAUUAUUGUGACUCAGACAUAGCAGUAUGAAGAUGAUAUAGAGGUUAUGGACAUGUCCACUAACUGUCCUGAACAAGAAAGUGUUUUUGUCCAAAUAUUCAGCAAUGCAUGCGUUCAGGAUAAAUGAUCUCAAAGCAUCUAAAUCUUGAUUGCCUGUGUUAACCGCUGAUGAUUGUGCUGUAAAUUUUAGAAAAACUUUUUAUUCUGCUCUGUAAAAUGUGUAAUGUAUGAAAGUGCUUAUUUAUAAUGAAUGCUGCAAUGAGUUUUGACUGACUGUGUAUGGGGUUUGACCCCUGCUCCAAAUGCACUGCUAUUAGCUGUAACUGAAAUGUAAAGAAGGAAGCUCUAGUGAUUAGUGUGCUUUAUUUUGCACUCGUGGAUUAUUUCCUGUGGUAAAAAAACAGACUAAAUAAAGAUUCAUUCUCUGAGGUCAUUGAUAAAAAAA